AGGUGCGAUCAUACCAGCACUAAUGCACCGGAUCCCAUCAAAACUCCACAGUGAAGCGUGCUUGGGCGAGAGUAGUACUAGGAUGGGUAACCUCCUAAGUUUUCCACCAAAAAUUUACAGCAACUC
Molecule: ribosomal RNA, 126 nt
Filed under: Phaseolus vulgaris (common bean)
Lineage: Eukaryota; Viridiplantae; Streptophyta; Magnoliopsida; Fabales; Fabaceae
Source: RNAcentral